UGACAUUGUCUUAGCCCUUGAAUAUAACACUGAUGGCGCCUUGGACUUGAGAGAGGCAUGGGGAAGGCCAGCUGAUCCUUGGCCUGAGAUUUGAGGGCAUGUAGGCAGAUGGGGAGGGGAAGGCAUUGUCAACUACCUCAAUCACUUCAAAAAUGUAAGUUGAGAUAGAAAGCUUCCUGGGAACGUAAGAAGUGGGAAGCAGCAGCCAUUAACAGAAUCUGAGUGAAGCUGAGACAUCCAGAUGCUGAUGAAGAAGAGAAGAGGGUCCGUGUGAAGGGAGUGGACCAUGAAGAACAAAGCAAUCUGUAUGAGACAUGAAGUUGACAUGCAGGGAAAUAAUUUGCCAUGAGUGAACUGAGGGAGCCAUUGCCCUGACCCUGCUCACCUUGAGCUACUGCAGAUCCCGCCAGGAUCCCUAUUCUUAUGGGUGAUAGAUUCCCAGGGCAAGGACUCCUAAAGCACCCCAGAACCUGGUGGGGUCCAGAAACCAGUUCAGGAAGCACCAGUCAUCAGAUUGCUGCAGACAGAGUGAUCAAGGCGAGGAAGGCUCAGCUGCAGGAUGGAGGAUGACUGGAGAAACUUGGAGGAAAGAGGUGCUUGGACUUUCUGAACAUCCUUCUAUUUCUGGAGGGUUGCGACACCACAGUCCGCAUCUCCUGGGUCUUCAAUGCUUUGGCCACACAUCCUGACCACUAUGAGACACAAGGAGAAGUUCCAGCAUUUUCCUGAGUGUGGAACCCCAUCACAUUGUGAGAGAGAGCCCAAAAAGAAGAGAAUCCUGACUUUGGAUAGACUCUCUGGUUCUGUUGGGCUCAGCUUGUUCUUCAGGCUGAUCUUCAUUCCAGAGACCACUUGGACCAGUUAUCCUACACCAUCAUGUGCAUCAGGGAAGCCCUGAGAAUCUACCCACCUGCCAAGCUGUGGGCAGAGAGGUUGACACCCCUGUCAUCUUUCCUGAUGGAUGUUCUUGUCACCUUUCCUGAUGAGCGUUCCUGCCACCUGUCCUGAUGGAUAUUCUUGUCACCUUUGCUGAUGGGUAUUCCCAUCACGUUUGUUGGUGGGUGUUCCUGUCACCUUUCCUGAGAGUGCUUCUGUCACCUUUCCUGGUGGGCAGUCCUUGCCUAAGUUGAGCCCCAAACCUCGAUACCUGUAGAUAAAAGAUAAUAAGAAGUCUUUUUGGAUUCCCUGAGAGUGGAGGACAGACAGAAUAUCUAGAUAGAUGCUAUAGACAUUGUGGUUCCUUUCUGAAGACAUGACAACUGAAUUGAUCAGGAAGUUCUGUGCCAUAAAUCAAAGGUGUUUUGCUCUGAGGUAUCUUUUGGCUGACAUUAGAGACCAGCUGAUGAUCAGAACUGAACCCCUUUCUAGAAUGAGAUCCUUCACCUACCGUUGGAUCUGGUCCCUGCCUUGCCAUGUGCUGACUGUAUGGAUACAGACAUGUCACUCAUCAUCUCUAACAUUCUGGUGCUUUUUCUGAAUAAUGAAUCCAAGUGUCUCUCUAAAGGUUGGUUCUGGGCACCUAGGGAAGUAGUUUUUAUCCUCCGAGACUAGUAGAAGGCAUUAGAGACAUGUGAAUAGUAGUCACUCAAGAGACUUUGCAUUGGUUCUCCAGUAACUUCCUGCUCCUCAUUGCUUGGAGGAACUAUGCCACUGUGGAGGAAACUGUUUCCUAUGUUUGGAAUACUGCCAGUGACUCAGUUGCCUUUCUGUUCCCUGCAAGCCAAGAUGCAGUCAACACAACACCUGCCUGCAUGCCACCAUGCUCCCUGCCAUGAUAAUAAUGGACUGAAUGCUGAAACUGUAAGCAAGCCACCCCAAUUAAGUAUUUUCCUUAUAAGAGUUUUCAUGGUUGUGGUGUCUUUCACAGCAAUAGAAACCCUAACUAAGACUGGAGGAAUCUCAAAUGACUGAGAACAUCCUUAACCAUCAGGGGAAUGCAAAUCAAAACUACUUUGAGAUUCCAUCUUACACCUUCAGAAUGGCUAAGAUCAAUAAUACAAGUGACAGCUCCUUGGUCAAAGAUGUAGAAAAGGGGGAACACUCCUUCAUUGUUGAUGGGAGUGCAAACUUGUACAACCAGUAUGGAAAUCAAUAUGGCAGUUCCUUAGAAAAUUGGUAAUCAAUACACCUCAAGAUCCAGCUAUACCACUCUUGGCCAUGUACCCAAAGGAUGCUCCAUCCUAUUACAAGGACACUUGUUUGGCUAUGUCCAUUGUGACUUCAUGAAUAAAAGCCAGAAAUUAAAAACAACCUAGAUGUUCCUUAACUGAGGACUGGAUAAAAAAAUUAUGAGCCAUUUACACAAUGGAAUAUUAGCUACUAAAAAAUGACAUCACAAAAUUUGCAGACAAAUGGACAGAACUAGAAAAAUAUCACCCUGAGUGAGGUAACACAGAUGGAGAAAGACAAAUGUGGUGUGUAUUCACUCAUAAGUGGGUAGUAGCUAUUAAGUAAAUGAUAGUCAAGCUACAAUCCACAGACCCAGAGAGGUUGGAUAAAGAGGUUAGAUAAGAGGGAAAUGUAGAUCUCCUUGGGACGGGGAAAUAGAGUAGAUUUAGUGGGUGGACUGGGGACAGGAGUAGGAGGGAUCAGAGGUUGGUAUGGGGAAAGAUAGAACGAAAGAGUACAAGGAGAGACAACUGGAAUUGGGGGCAUUUGAGGAGUUGUGUGGAAACCUACUGCAGUGGAAACUUCCUGGAAUCUAAGAGUGUGACCCUAAUGAGGACUUGUAGCAACAGAAGAUAGAGUCUGAACUGGCCAUCUUUUGUAGCCAGGCAAGGCUUUUAGUAGUGGAACUGGGCUACAUUCAGUUGAAUUGUUAAUCAAGGUCCCACUGAGAUCCCUGAACACCCCAGGCUGAUGCUAGAACAAAAAGUCUCUUCUGAAAACUGACAGUGGGGCCCCAUUGCCAAAGACAACUUCCACAUAGUUCAUCAAACGUAGACAGGUCGAGUUGGUGUGACCUUGGAGCCUGCUUUCACCACUACAUUUCAGUCUCUUUGGCACAAGAAGGUGUUCUGCAUGCUAUGGAGACAGAAACCUGGAUACCAACCCAGCCACAAAACCUUCCACCUACAAUCUUGUCUUGCAUGCAAAAUGUGCUGGGGCAAUGGUGGCCCAGACUUGUGAGAGUGAACAACCAAUGUGUGGUUUAACUUGAGGUCCAGGCCACAAGAGGGAGCCCGUGCUCUCCCUAUACUGCCUAGAUGGCCAGGAAACAGAGACUGGAUAGCCCAACCUGCAGUAGAAUCAAAGAGAACUGGG
Molecule: long non-coding RNA, 3264 nt
Organism: Alexandromys fortis (reed vole)
Lineage: Eukaryota; Metazoa; Chordata; Mammalia; Rodentia; Cricetidae
Exons: 5
Source: RefSeq, a predicted model, not a curated record